RNAcentral lists this ribosomal RNA (1146 nucleotides) under Coprinus sp. ql-9. RNAcentral's name for it is "eukaryotic LSU rRNA". The stretch from base 748 to 901 matches the Rfam family "5.8S ribosomal RNA". Lineage: Eukaryota; Fungi; Basidiomycota; Agaricomycetes; Agaricales; Agaricaceae. The record is from RNAcentral.
UCAAGAGAGAGGGUUCAUCGUCUAGGUAAUAUUAUCAAGCGGUGAGGAUCGCAUGUGUUCCAUAUGCUUUCGGAGAGUUGUCUGAAAGGACAGCACAUUCUAUUUCCAGCCAGGACAGGCACCAAGAGCGGAGGGUUGAGAUUUAUGACACUCAAACGGGCUGCUCUCUGGAAUACCAAGAAGCGCGAGGGCGUUCAAGUUUGUGAUUCCACGAUUUCUGCAUUUCACCAUUACUUAUUGCAAUCGUGGUUUUUUAAUGGUGCAAGGCCAAAGAUCCGUUGUGAAAGUUUAUUUUGUUAUAGCACUAAGCCCAAUACUUCUUCUACGACUACUAAGUGUUUAUGAUAACAUAGACCUCGAGACACAUGCAACAAAUUUGUCACUAAUCAAUCCCCCACGACUACAAAUGUGUGCACAGGUGGAUAGAUAAAGACGGCAGGUGUGCACAUACUCCAGGAGUAGGCUACAACCCCAACCAUGUUUUUUCAAUAAAUGAUCCCUUCUUCCGUAAGGGUACCUGCGGAAGGAUCAUUAUUGAAUAAACAUGGUUGGGUUGUAGCUGACUCCUUGGAGUAUGUGCACACCUGCCGUCUUUAUCUAUCCACCUGUGCACACAUUGUAGUCUUGGGGGAUUGAUUAGUGACAAAUUUUGUUGCAAUGUCGUCCUCCGAGGUCUAUGUUAUCAUAAACCACUUAGUAUGUCGUAGAAUGAAGUAUUUGGGCCUUAGUGCCUAUAAAACAAAAUACAACUUUCAGCAACGGAUCUCUUGGCUCUCGCAUCGAUGAAGAACGCAGCGAAAUGCGAUAAGUAAUGUGAAUUGCAGAAUUCAGUGAAUCAUCGAAUCUUUGAACGCACCUUGCGCUCCUUGGUAUUCCGAGGAGCAUGCCUGUUUGAGUGUCAUUAAAUUCUCAACCCCUCCAGCUUUUGUGGCUGGUCGUGGCUUGGAUAUGGGAGUUUUGCUGGUCUCAUUUCGAGAUCAGCUCUCCUGAAAUGCAUUAGUGGAACCGUUUGCGAUCCGUCACCGGUGUGAUAAUUAUCUACGCCAUAGACUGUGAACGCUCUCUGUAUUGUUCUGCUUCUAACUGUCCUGUAAAAGGACAACGAUAUUGAACUUUGACCUCAAAUCAGGUAGACCCCGCGUUCUC